CAUCACUGGAACUUCUAAUUCCU
RNAcentral lists this non-coding RNA (23 nucleotides) under Arabidopsis thaliana (thale cress). Lineage: Eukaryota; Viridiplantae; Streptophyta; Magnoliopsida; Brassicales; Brassicaceae. The record is from RNAcentral.